Molecule: long non-coding RNA, 580 nt
Organism: Gossypium arboreum
Lineage: Eukaryota; Viridiplantae; Streptophyta; Magnoliopsida; Malvales; Malvaceae
Exons: 3
Source: RefSeq, a predicted model, not a curated record
UAAUGGUGCCUUUUAAUUUUUGAUUGAAACCUUUAUAUUUUUUAACCUUACAAAUCCCUUUUCUAAACAAAACCCCAAAGCUCCUCUCUGCUAGGUUUUCACCCAAACAUGACGCCGGACCACCACCAUAUUUGGUAGCCGAUGGUGUGAAAAGAAAUGGCAUGAGAUCAUUACUAUGAAGGCCUGAAAAUAAGAGGGAGAGUUCUAUCAAACGAGAAAGCAAGAAAGCAAAGGGCAUCAACCCAAUUUUGGGUUCGGAUCCAAUGACGGAGGGGACCCCCGAUGACACGGCCACAAGGUUCCGGGUGUCAGAGGUGUGCCAGGCGGUGGCGUGUGGGCAUGCUGGCACGGCGCACAUGGGCAGCGGCGCAUAGCUGCUAGGGUUUCUGACCCUUUUUCUUUUGCUGAAAAUGUUAAGCUUUGGGCCAUUUUGGGCUUGUUCUAGUUUUGGGUCAAUUUGUAAAAUUUUGGGUUUAAUGGGUUGUUAAAAACUUGGAAUUUUUAUUUAUUUUGUGCUUUUGGUUUUUGUUAGUUUGGGCCCGAGCCAAAAUUGGGCUCUUCAAUAUAUAUAUUUCAAACA